Non-coding RNA from Pannonibacter phragmitetus, 84 nucleotides. The record is from Rfam. NCBI's taxonomy places the organism in Bacteria, Pseudomonadati, Pseudomonadota, Alphaproteobacteria, Hyphomicrobiales, Stappiaceae.
GCCCCUGUGGCGGAACUGGUAGACGCGACGGAUUCAAAAUCCGUUUCCCGUGAGGGAGUGCCCGUUCGAUUCGGGCCAGGGGCA